RNAcentral lists this ribosomal RNA (465 nucleotides) under uncultured bacterium. Its description in RNAcentral is "partial 16S ribosomal RNA". It matches the Rfam family "Bacterial small subunit ribosomal RNA", at positions 339 to 795 of the family's 1533-position model. The record is from RNAcentral.
CUACGGGGCGCACCAGUGGGGAAUAUUGGACAAUGGGGGAAACCCUGAUCCAGCAAUGCCGCGUGUGUGAAGAAGGCCUGCGGGUUGUAAAGCACUUUCGGUUGGGAGGACUGCUUCUAGCACUAAUAUUGUUGGAAGUUGACGUUACCUUCAGAAGAAGCACCGGCUAACUCCGUGCCAGCAGCCGCGGUAAUACGGAGGGGGCAAGCGUUAAUCGGAAUUACUGGGCGUAAAGCGCGCGUAGGCGGCUAGAUCAGUCGGGUGUGAAAGCCCCGGGCUUAACCUGGGAACUGCAUCCGAUACUGGCUAGCUUGAGUACAGGAGAGGAGAGUGGAAUGCCACAUGUAGCGGUGAAAUGCGUAGAUAUGUGGAGGAACACCAAUGGCGAAGGCAGCUCUCUGGCCUGAUACUGACGCUGAGGUGCGAAAGCGUGGGGAGCAAACAGGAUUAGAUACCCCAGUAGUC